This 501-nucleotide ribosomal RNA is filed under the name uncultured Dorea sp. Its description in RNAcentral is "bacterial SSU rRNA". It matches the Rfam family "Bacterial small subunit ribosomal RNA", at positions 1 to 507 of the family's 1533-position model. The record is from RNAcentral. Lineage: Bacteria; Bacillati; Bacillota; Clostridia; Lachnospirales; Lachnospiraceae.
CGUAGAGUUGUAUCCUGGCUCAGGAUGAACGCUGGCGGCGUGCUAACACAUGCAAGUCGAGCGAAGCGCUUAAGUCAGAAUCUUCGGAGGAAGGCUUUUGUGACUGAGCGGCGGACGGGUGAGUAACGCGUGGGUAACCUGCCUUACACAGGGGGAUAACAGUUAGAAAUGACUGCUAAUACCGCAUAAGACCACAGUACUGCAUGGUACAGUGGUAAAAACUGAGGUGGUGUAAGAUGGACCCGCGUCUGAUUAGGUAGUUGGUGGGGUAACGGCCCACCAAGCCGACGAUCAGUAGCCGGCCUGAGAGGGUGGACGGCCACAUUGGGACUGAGACACGGCCCAGACUCCUACGGGAGGCAGCAGUGGGGAAUAUUGCACAAUGGGGGAAACCCUGAUGCAGCGACGCCGCGUGAGCGAUGAAGUAUUUCGGUAUGUAAAGCUCUAUCAGCAGGGAAGAAAAUGACGGUACCUGACUAAGAAGCCCCGGCUAACUGCGUG